UACGUGUUAAAUGCAAAAUCGCACGUACACGUAGGUCUACGUGUAUAACCUGCUGAAGAGAGGUGAAGGAGGACUUGAUCUUGCCAUUCUUGGUCUGAUAACCGACAUGGAGGAAGCCCUUAUCCUAGAAGUGUGGGAAAAUCCAAACCUGUAUGACAAGAGAUUGGAGAUGAUUAAGGACACAGAAGUAAAAAGCGAUGUAUGACAUGACAUUGGGCGUCAGCUUGUAAUCUCAGGUGACGUAGCGAGGUGAGGGACAACUAC
Molecule: long non-coding RNA, 264 nt
Organism: Lytechinus variegatus (green sea urchin)
Lineage: Eukaryota; Metazoa; Echinodermata; Echinoidea; Temnopleuroida; Toxopneustidae
Exons: 3
Source: RefSeq, a predicted model, not a curated record